UUCUUAUUCCAAACAUAGGUGUCAGAGGUGAAACAACCGUGCCGACAAGGUCAACAAGUGCCACUCCUGAAACGCCUACAGAAGAUCGGACUCCAACGCCAGAUUUUACCACAAUUCACCAAGCAUUGCCCACACUACCAUCACAAGCAGACAUAGUCCACCAGAAGACCUCCCUCUUCAAACGGAUCGAGGGACGGCGCCUUCAAAAUCACGUGAUCAAAACCAAACAUGGAUUGUCAUUGGUCAAAUGCGGUGCCGAGUGUAACAAGCGAGAUGACUGCGUGUCAUUUAACAUCGGCAACGGUGUGUGUGAGCUCAACAAAC
Molecule: long non-coding RNA, 324 nt
Organism: Strongylocentrotus purpuratus (purple sea urchin)
Lineage: Eukaryota; Metazoa; Echinodermata; Echinoidea; Camarodonta; Strongylocentrotidae
Exons: 3
Source: RefSeq, a predicted model, not a curated record